RNAcentral lists this transfer RNA (90 nucleotides) under Alphaproteobacteria bacterium. Its description in RNAcentral is "tRNA-Ser". It matches the Rfam family "tRNA". Rfam says of the family: Transfer RNA (tRNA) molecules are approximately 80 nucleotides in length. Their secondary structure includes four short double-helical elements and three loops (D, anti-codon, and T loops). Lineage: Bacteria; Pseudomonadati; Pseudomonadota; Alphaproteobacteria. The record is from RNAcentral.
GGACAGGUGGCAGAGUGGUUGAAUGCACCGCACUCGAAAUGCGGCAUACCCUUACGGGUAUCGGGGGUUCGAAUCCCCCCCUCUCCGCCA